RNAcentral lists this transfer RNA (95 nucleotides) under Streptomyces fuscichromogenes. RNAcentral describes it as "tRNA-Arg". The record is from RNAcentral. Lineage: Bacteria; Bacillati; Actinomycetota; Actinomycetes; Kitasatosporales; Streptomycetaceae.
GCCCGCAGAGCGACGACCUCCAGCCCGGCCGCCUCCGCCGCGGCGCGCUCGCCGUCGGGGUGACGGCCGCGCCGGACCGCCUCCGGCUGCGGGCC